This 463-nucleotide ribosomal RNA is filed under the name uncultured bacterium. Its description in RNAcentral is "partial 16S ribosomal RNA". It matches the Rfam family "Bacterial small subunit ribosomal RNA", at positions 28 to 507 of the family's 1533-position model. The record is from RNAcentral.
GAUGAACGCUGACAGAAUGCUUAACACAUGCAAGUCUUUGGUGAAGCUGUGCUUGCACAGCCUAGCCAAGGCGGACGGGUGAGUAACGCGUAAGGAACUUGCCCUGCAGUCAGGGAUAACAGACGGAAACGACUGAUAAGACCUGGUAAAGUCAGGCGGACUCAUGUCCAGCCUGAUGAAAAGAGAUGCUGCAGGAGAGCCUUGCGUCCUAUUAGCUUGUUGGUGGGGUAACGGCCCACCAAGGCAAUGAUAGGUAGCCGGCCUGAGAGGGUGGACGGCCACAAGGGGACUGAGAUACGGCCCUUACUCCUACGGGAGGCAGCAGUGGGGAAUAUUGGAAAAUGGGGGCAACCCUGAUCCAGCAAUUCUGUGUGCACGAUGAAGGUUUUCGGAGUGUAAAGUGCUUUCAGCAGGGAAGAAAAAAAUGACGGUACCUGCAGAAGAAGCGACGGCUAAAUACGUG